CUGAACGCCUCUACGUCAGAAA
Molecule: unclassified non-coding RNA, 22 nt
Filed under: Galatheanthemum profundale
Lineage: Eukaryota; Metazoa; Cnidaria; Anthozoa; Actiniaria; Galatheanthemidae
Description: partial external transcribed spacer
Source: RNAcentral